GAUGAACGCUGGCGGCGUGCCUAAUACAUGCAAGUCGAGCGAACGGACGAGAAGCUUGCUUCUCUGAUGUUAGCGGCGGACGGGUGAGUAACACGUGGAUAACCUACCUAUAAGACUGGGAUAACUUCGGGAAACCGGAGCUAAUACCGGAUAAUAUUUUGAACCGCAUGGUUCAAAAGUGAAGGACGGUCUUGCUGUCACUUAUAGAUGGAUCCGCGCUGCAUUGGCUAGUUGGUAAGGUAACGGCUUACCAAGGCAACGAUGCAUAGCCGACCUGAGAGGGUGAUCGGCCACACUGGAACUGAGACACGGUCCUGACUCCUACGGGAGGCAGCAGUAGGGAAUCUUCCGCAAUGGGCGAAAGCCUGACGGAGCAACGCCGCGUGAGUGAUGAAGGUCUUCGGAUCGUAAAACUCUGUUAUUAGGGAAGAACAUAUGUGUAAGUAACUGUGCACAUCUUGACGGUACCUAAUCAGAAAGCCACGGCUAACUACGUG
This 497-nucleotide ribosomal RNA is filed under the name uncultured bacterium. RNAcentral describes it as "partial 16S ribosomal RNA". It matches the Rfam family "Bacterial small subunit ribosomal RNA", at positions 28 to 507 of the family's 1533-position model. The record is from RNAcentral.